AGAGAGAGACAUGCGCGCAUAUCAAUAAGCGGAGGAAAAGAAACUAACAAGGAUUCCCUUAGUAACGGCGAGUGAAGCGGGAAGAGCUCAAAUUUGAAAUCUUCAAGGUUUUACCUUGACGAAUUGUAGUUUAAAGAAGUGUUUUCUGCUGAAGUUUUGGUAAAAGUUCUUUGGAAUAGGACAUCAUAGAGGGUGAGAAUCCCGUAUUUGACCAUUAUUUUCAGCUUUGUGAUACACUUUCAAAGAGUCGGAUUGUUUGGGAAUGCAGUCCAAAAUGGGUGGUAAAUUUCAUCUAAAGCUAAAUAUUGGUGAGAGACCGAUAGCGAACAAGUACCGUGAGGGAAAGAUGAAAAGAACUUUGAAAAGAGAGUUAAACAGUACGUGAAAUUGUCAAAAGGGAAGCGUUUGACACCAGUGUUGUUUUCUCGAAAAUCAAUUAAAAAUGGCUCGAUUUUGUAUUGCUUGAGACCUUAAAAGCUCACUGUACAUUUUUCGUGUCUUUUUUAAUGCACUUUUCGUUUAACAAGUCAACAUCAGUUUCUUUUGUUGUAAAAGGGUCAUUGGAAGGUGGCUUUCUUUUCGGAGAAAGUGUUUAUAGCCUUUGGCCUCUGCAAUCGGAGAGACUGAGGUCUGCAGCGUAGACUCUUCGGGGUUAGAUACAUUUGUGCUAAGUUAUAGCUUUUUAUAGACAACUUGUUGACUAUAAUUAGUCUUGUAGCUUACUCGCUUAUGCUAUUUUACCUACGCUUAGGAUGUUGAGUCGUAGAGCACGCA
RNAcentral lists this ribosomal RNA (774 nucleotides) under uncultured Neocallimastigales. Its description in RNAcentral is "partial large subunit ribosomal RNA". It matches the Rfam family "Eukaryotic large subunit ribosomal RNA", at positions 23 to 605 of the family's 3401-position model. Lineage: Eukaryota; Fungi; Neocallimastigomycota; Neocallimastigomycetes; Neocallimastigales. The record is from RNAcentral.